Molecule: unclassified non-coding RNA, 212 nt
Filed under: plant metagenome
Description: partial contains small subunit ribosomal RNA, internal transcribed spacer 1, and 5.8S ribosomal RNA
Source: RNAcentral
UCUCCGUUGGUGAACCAGCGGAGGGAUCAUUACCGAGUUUACAACUCCCAAACCCCUGUGAACAUACCUUAAUGUUGCCUCGGCGGAUCAGCCCGCGCCCCGUAAAACGGGACGGCCCGCCUGAGGACCCAAACUCUAAUGUUUCUUAUUGUAACCUCUGAGUAAAACAAACAAAUAAAUCAAAACUUUCAACAACGGAUCUCUUGGUUCUG